GAAAGACAUGGGGUUUGAGGAACAGAUAACCCACAUUAAGGUUUAGCAGAUGUAUCCUGCCCCAUGACAGAUUCAUUCCUAAUGAACCUUCUCAGUACAUCAGGUGGGAACCAACUCCACACAGUGUGAUAAACAAGACAUCUCUUAAGAAGAAGUACCGUAUUUUCCGGCGUAUAAGACGACUUUUUACCCCUGGAAAAUCU
This is a non-coding RNA of Pelobates cultripes (western spadefoot toad), 203 nucleotides long. Lineage: Eukaryota; Metazoa; Chordata; Amphibia; Anura; Pelobatidae. The record is from the annotation of a GenBank genome assembly.